RNAcentral lists this ribosomal RNA (253 nucleotides) under uncultured bacterium. Its description in RNAcentral is "partial 16S ribosomal RNA". It matches the Rfam family "Bacterial small subunit ribosomal RNA", at positions 524 to 776 of the family's 1533-position model. The record is from RNAcentral.
UACGGAGGGUGCGAGCGUUAAUCGGAAUUACUGGGCGUAAAGGGCACGCAGGCGGUUUGUUAAGCUAGAUGUGAAAGCCCCGGGCUCAACCUGGGAUGGUCAUUUAGAACUGGCAGACUAGAGUCUUGGAGAGGGGAGUGGAAUUCCAGGUGUAGCGGUGAAAUGCGUAGAUAUCUGGAGGAACAUCAGUGGCGAAGGCGACUCCCUGGCCAAAGACUGACGCUCAUGUGCGAAAGUGUGGGUAGCGAACAGG